RNAcentral lists this ribosomal RNA (252 nucleotides) under uncultured bacterium. RNAcentral's name for it is "partial 16S ribosomal RNA". It matches the Rfam family "Bacterial small subunit ribosomal RNA", at positions 524 to 776 of the family's 1533-position model. The record is from RNAcentral.
UACGGGGGGGCAAGCGUUGUUCGGAAUUACUGGGCGUAAAGGGCUCGUAGGUGGCCAACUAAGUCGGACGUGAAAUCCCUCAGCUUAACUGGGGAACUGCGUCCGAUACUGGAUGGCUUGAGUUUGGGAGAGGGAUGCGGAAUUCCAGGUGUAGCGGUGAAAUGCGCAGAUAUCAGGAGGAACACCGGUGGCGAAGGCGGUUCUCUGGGCCUUACCUGACGCUGAGGAGCGAAAGCAUGGGGAGCAAACAGG